RNAcentral lists this long non-coding RNA (762 nucleotides) under Fragaria vesca (wild strawberry). RNAcentral's name for it is "long non-coding RNA (FVES_LNC002844)". The record is from RNAcentral. Lineage: Eukaryota; Viridiplantae; Streptophyta; Magnoliopsida; Rosales; Rosaceae.
GUUGCUUGAUGAUUCUCUCGAGAACCAUGGACUCCAGGCGAGGUUACAGGCUUCUGAAACCUCUGCAGGAUCGCGGCUUCAAAGUUCAUGCAGUGACACCAGACUUGUCAUUUCUGUUCAAGAACACCCCAGCCGAGGCCUGGUUUGCUGAGAUGAAGAAAGGCAUCAAAGACCCUGGUGAGAUUCCAUUAGCUCAGAACCUGUCUAAUUUAAUGAGACUAGCAGUUCUAUACAAGUAUGGAGGUGUGUACCUGGACACAGAUUUCAUCGUCAUGAAAUCGUUUUCCGGGUUGAGGAACUCAAUCGGUGCACAAAGUAUGGAUGCUGAGAUGAAACACUGGACCAGACUAAAUAAUGCAGUGCUGGUGUUUGAUAUGAAUCAUCCUCUUCUGCACAAAUUCAUUGAGGAGUUUUCCUUGACUUUUGAUGGGAAUAAAUGGGGUCAUAAUGGACCCUAUCUUGUUUCCAGAGUGGUCCAGAGAGUGGAAAACAGACCUGGAUAUAACUUUACAGUCCUGCCUCCAAUGGCUUUCUAUCCUGUGGAUUGGACUAGAAUAGGGGGAUUGUUUAAGAAGCCGAAAAACCAUGCUGAUACUAAAUGGAUAAAAGCAAAGCUGCUUCAGCUUAGCGGGGAGACUUACGGAGUACACCUGUGGAACAAGCAAAGUAGCAGAGUACAAAUCGAAGAAGGAAGCAUUAUGCAGAGAUUAAUCUCCGAUCACUGCAUCAUCUGUAAAGACAUAUACAGUUCUUAAAGAAUCU